GUUGCUUCAGGUUCUUGGAUGAUGAACCUGUGUGGGAGCCCGGUAUGCUCCAACCAAGAUGCACUCCCAUGUGCAUGGAACGAAAUAUUCGACUCCUCCACCUGCACGAAUCAUCUGGUGGGGUUUGGCGCCGGCGCGCUGCUCAUACUCGCGCUCGCGCUCCACCUGCUUGUCAAAAUUCCUAGGAGCAGAGCGUCUGCGCGGCAGCUUUCCACACCCAGCUCACCGCUGCAGUUGGCUGCAGUGGUUUUCAGUGGCUGCCUAGGUUUGGUUUAUCUUGGCCUAGGGCUGUGGAUGCUGGGGAACUUCUUCAGUCUGGAUUCUCCUGUUUACCUGCCGCACUGGUGGCUCGUGACAUUAUCUCAAGGAUUCUGUUUGAUCCUUGCCAGCUUCGCUUUCAGCAUCAGGCCUCGAUUUCUUGGAGCUGCACUCGUUCGAUUUUGGUCUGUCGUGCUGGCCAUCUAUGCGGCAUUCAUCUCUUGUUCCUCGGCUCAUCACAUCGUUGCAGAGAAAGCGAUCACCAUCAAGGCUUGCUUAGAUGUUCUGUCCCUACCAGGUGCAAUAAUCUUCCUUCUUUAUGGCUUUCUGCACAGCCACGAGGAAGAGGCUUAUGGAGGAGCCGGAAAUGGUUUAUAUAAGCCCCUGGGCAUGGAGACAGAAGGUGAGGUAGCUAAUUCAGAGAAUGAGGUAACUCCCUUUGCUAAAGCUGGUUUCCUCAGCGAAAUGUCAUUUUGGUGGUUGAAUCCUUUACUGAAGAUGGGUUAUGAGAAGCCCCUUGAGGACAAAGACAUUCCACUUUUAAGCCCUAAAGAUCGAGCACAAAGCCAGUACUUGAUGUUCAUGGAGAAGCUGGAUAGCAAGAAGCAGUUGCAGUCACAUGCUGCACCAUCAUUCUUCUGGACUAUUGUUUCUUGUCACAAGCGUGCAAUCAUGGUCUCAGGUUUCUUUGCUUUGCUCAAGAUUCUUACCUUAUCUGCAGGCCCGUUGCUUCUGAAAGCAUUCAUCAAUGCAUCAAUUGGGAAAGAAACCUUUAAGUAUGAAGGCUUUGUGCUGACUGCCACAUUGUUUGUCUGCAAAUGCUGUGAAUCGUUGUCGCAGAGACAGUGGUAUUUCCGCACACGGAGAUUAGGACUCCAGGUAAGAUCAUUUCUGUCAGCAGCUAUUUAUAAGAAGCAACAGAAUCUAUCAAAUGCAGCAAAAAUGGAGCACUCUUCUGGAGAAAUUAUGAACUAUGUGACUGUCGAUGCCUACCGGAUUGGGGAAUUCCCAUACUGGUUCCAUCAAACAUGGACAACAACUGUUCAGCUUUGCAUUGCUCUGGCAAUUCUGUAUAACGCAGUUGGUGCUGCAAUGGUUUCAUCGCUGGUUGUCAUCAUUAUCACCGUACUCUGCAAUGCUCCUUUGGCCAAACUCCAGCACAAAUUUCAGAGUAAACUUAUGGAAGCACAAGAUGUUAGAUUGAAGGCCAUGACUGAAUCCUUAGUUCAUAUGAAGGUAUUGAAACUUUAUGCAUGGGAAGCUCACUUCAAGAAGGUCAUAGAGGGGUUAAGGGAGGUUGAGUACAAGUGGUUGUCAGCAUUCCAGCUUAGGAGGGCUUACAACAGUGUCCUGUUUUGGUCAUCACCUGUUUUGGUUUCGGCGGCAACCUUUCUAACAUGCUAUCUUUUGAAAACCCCUCUUGACGCUAGCAAUGUCUUCACAACUGUGGCCACUCUGCGUCUCGUGCAAGAUCCAGUUAGGUCAAUACCAGACGUUAUUGCAGUUGUGGUACAAGCUAAGGUUGCUUUCACUCGGAUAUCGAAGUUUCUUGAUGCACCAGAGCUGAACCGGCAAAUUGGGAAGAAAUACUGUGUGAGCAUCGAUUAUCCAAUAGCGAUGAACUCAUGUGGUUUCUCGUGGGAUGGGAAUCCAUCAAGGCCAAUUCUAAAGAACAUAAAUUUGACAAUCAAAACUGGAGAAAAGGUAGCAAUUUGUGGAGAGGUGGGAUCAGGAAAGUCAACCCUUUUGGCUGCUGUACUCGGAGAGGUAUCCAAAACUGAAGGCACGAUUCAAGUCUGCGGGAAAAUAGCAUAUGUUUCUCAGACUGCAUGGAUCCAAACAGGAACUGUACAAGAUAAUAUCCUCUUUGGAUCUUUGAUGGACAAGCAAAUGUACGAAGAAACACUUGCAAGGUGCUCAUUGGUCAAGGACCUUGAAAUGUUGCCGUUCGGUGACCUUACUCAAAUUGGAGAGAGAGGAGUAAAUCUUAGUGGUGGUCAGAAGCAGCGUAUUCAGCUUGCUCGUGCACUAUACCAGAAUGCAGACAUCUAUCUUCUUGAUGACCCUUUCAGUGCUGUCGAUGCCCAUACAGCAACAAGUCUCUUUAAUGAUUAUGUCAUGGGCAUUUUAUCAGACAAGACUGUUCUUUUGGUGACCCACCAAGUGGAUUUUCUACCUGUAUUUGACUCCAUUCUGUUAAUGUUAGAUGGGGAGGUUAUUCGGUCUGCACCUUAUCAAGAUCUAUUGGCAGACUGUCAACAAUUUAUGGACCUUGUAAAUGCGCAUAAUGAUACCGUUAGUGAUUCAAAUCUUAGUAGUAUGGCCUCUCAAAGAGUAAUGGAAAUACCAAGAAAAGAGACAGGUGAUAUUCGUGGAAACAGAUAUACAGAGGCUGUGAAGCCAUCACCAGUAGAUCAAUUGAUCAAGAGAGAGGAAAGGGAAUCAGGGGAUACAGGUCUUAAGCCUUAUAUGCUUUACCUGCGCCAGAACAAAGGCUUCUUGUAUGCCUCUCUUUCUGUUAUUUGUCACAUAAUUUUCUUAGCUGGUCAAAUUUCACAGAAUUCACGGAUGGCUGCUAAUGUCCAAAAUGCUCGUGUUAGUACACUGAAGUUAAUUUCUGUGUACAUUGUUAUCGGAAUCUGCACCAUUUUCUUUGUGCUAUCACGAUCUUUGUUCCUCGUUGUUCUCGGAGUCCAGACUUCAAGAUCCUUGUUUUCCCAGUUGCUCAAUUCAUUGUUCCGUGCACCUAUGACCUUUUUUGAUUCUACUCCUCUAGGCAGGAUUCUUAGCCGGGUCUCUUCAGAUUUGAGUAUCAUUGAUCUUGAUGUUCCAUUUGCCUUCAUGUUUACCUUUAGUGCCAGCUUAACUGCAUAUAGCAAUCUGGUAGUAUUGGCUGUUGUUACAUGGCAAGUUCUGUUUGUAUCAUUGCCGAUGAUAUUUUUGGCAAUUCGGUUGCAGAGGUACUAUUUAGCCUCAGCUAAGGAAUUGAUGCGGAUUAAUGGCACUACCAAGUCUGCCCUAGCAAAUCACUUAGGUGAAUCGAUUUCAGGGGUUAUAACAAUACGUGCCUUUGAGGAACAAGAUCGUUUCUUUGCUCAAAAUUUGGAGCUAGUCGACAAGAAUGCUAGUCCAUACUUUUAUAAUUCUGCAGCUACUGAAUGGUUGAUUCAGCGCCUGGAAACAAUGAGUGCUGCGGUUCUUUCUUCUGCUUUUGUCAUGGCUCUUCUUCCUCAAGGAACUUUUAGCCCCGGUUUUGUUGGAAUGGCAUUCUCUUAUGGUCUUUCCCUAAAUAAUACUCUUGUUAACUCUAUUCAAAGGCAAUGCAGCCUUGCGAAUCAAAUAAUAUCUGUGGAAAGGGUGAACCACUACAUGGACAUACAAAGUGAACCAGAAGUUAUUGAAGAAAACCGUCCGGCACCAGAUUGGCCCCAAGUCGGCAGUGUGGAGCUUAGAGAUUUGAAGAUUAGGUACAGGGAAGACGCACCCCUUGUACUACAUGGUAUCACUUGCAAGUUUGAAGGUGGAGACAAGAUUGGUAUAGUUGGUCGAACAGGAAGUGGCAAGACAACUUUAAUUGGUGCAUUGUUCUGCCUUGUUGAACCUGCUGGAGGGAAAAUAAGUAUUGACUCUGUGGACAUCACUAUGGGCUUACAUGACCUGCGUUCGUGUUUGGGCAUCAUUCCCCAAGAUCCAACACUUUUUCAGGGUACAGUAAGAUAUAAUCUGGAUCCUCUUGGGAAGUUCUCGGAUCAACAAAUAUGGGAGGUUCUUGACAAAUGUCAACUUCUUGAAGCCGUCCAGGAGAAGGAACAGGGAUUGGAUUCACUUGUUGCGGAAAACGGGUCAAACUGGAGCAUGGGCCAAAGGCAGCUCUUUUGUUUGGGUCGCACACUUUUGAGAAGGUGCCGUAUCUUAGUUCUUGAUGAAGCCACGGCCUCUAUAGACAACGCGACAGAUGCGAUCCUUCAGAAAACAAUCCGGACAGAAUUCAGACAUUGCACCGUUAUUACAGUCGCGCACCGUAUCCCAACAGUUAUGGACUGCGAUAUGGUACUUGCAAUGAGUGAUGGGAAAGCAGUGGAGUAUGAUAAACCUGCGAAGCUCAUGGAAACUGAAGGAUCUCUCUUCCGCGAACUGGUCAACGAGUAUUGGUCAUACACAUCGAACGGAAACAAUUAG
This 4437-nucleotide ribosomal RNA is filed under the name Triticum aestivum (bread wheat). RNAcentral's name for it is "partial small subunit ribosomal RNA". The record is from RNAcentral. Lineage: Eukaryota; Viridiplantae; Streptophyta; Magnoliopsida; Poales; Poaceae.